CAAAGGCCUCUGGCCUGAAACUCCAGCCCUGCGAGAAGGUUUCCUCACAGACAGAGGGAUUGGCCCUGCUGAUCCAACAGCAGGAUCCAGCUUAUAGGCUUCAAAUUCUUUGCGGCAUGGGUUAUCUUUUCAUUUUGGGGCUGGUCAAAUAUUAACGGAAGAGCUGUCCAUUGAAAAAGGCCAUUUUGUCAAAAAAAAAUCCAAGCUUUCUAACAAAUUUUGAAUUACCAGCAUUUUCCUGCAGAAUGGAAAUUCUGGCUGUAGCACAAAUGCAGUUGGCAAGUCUGUGACCUAUUUUAUCCAAAUAUAUAACCU
Long non-coding RNA from Pelodiscus sinensis (Chinese soft-shelled turtle), 315 nucleotides. RefSeq lists it as uncharacterized. The record is from RefSeq and is a predicted model, not a curated record. Lineage: Eukaryota; Metazoa; Chordata; Testudines; Trionychidae.